Molecule: ribosomal RNA, 600 nt
Filed under: Serratia sp. 324
Lineage: Bacteria; Pseudomonadati; Pseudomonadota; Gammaproteobacteria; Enterobacterales; Yersiniaceae
Description: bacterial SSU rRNA
Rfam family: Bacterial small subunit ribosomal RNA
Source: RNAcentral
UGCAAGUCGAGCGGUAGCACAGGAGAGCUUGCUCUCCGGGUGACGAGCGGCGGACGGGUGAGUAAUGUCUGGGAAACUGCCUGAUGGAGGGGGAUAACUACUGGAAACGGUAGCUAAAACCGCAUAACGUCUUCGGACCAAAGUGGGGGACCUUCGGGCCUCAUGCCAUCAGAUGUGCCCAGAUGGGAUUAGCUAGUAGGUGGGGUAAUGGCUCACCUAGGCGACGAUCCCUAGCUGGUCUGAGAGGAUGACCAGCCACACUGGAACUGAGACACGGUCCAGACUCCUACGGGAGGCAGCAGUGGGGAAUAUUGCACAAUGGGCGCAAGCCUGAUGCAGCCAUGCCGCGUGUGUGAAGAAGGCCUUCGGGUUGUAAAGCACUUUCAGCGAGGAGGAAGGGUUCAGUGUUAAUAGCACUGUGCAUUGACGUUACUCGCAGAAGAAGCACCGGCUAACUCCGUGCCAGCAGCCGCGGUAAUACGGAGGGUGCAAGCGUUAAUCGGAAUUACUGGGCGUAAAGCGCACGCAGGCGGUUUGUUAAGUCANAUGUGAAAUCCCCGCGCUUAACGUGGGAACUGCAUUUGAAACUGGCAAGCUAGA